AAUAUAUAUAUCUAAAUUACUUGCAAAUAUAUAUAACAAAAUAAGCUCAAAUUAUGUCAAAUAUACUUGACUAAAAUAGAAGCGUGCUUUUCAAAUUCUAUAACUUAGACUAAGAAUGCGGCAUGGUCACAUUAAAUGUGACAUUUUUCGCCUUUAACUUAAAACCCCUGCAUGCUUUGAAAAUAGUGCUGAGAUCUUAAUUGUCUCGAUACAAGUUUUGGGGUUGCACCCAGGUGUCACUUCCCCAAUAGUUUGUUCCAUUUUAACGUUGGCAUGGUUGUGUAAUGUGUUAUCCCAUUUCAAGUAGCUCCUUGAUCUCCAAUAUGGCAAUAUCUUAAUAUUUUUAGUAGGUGUGAAAGUGUUUCAAAGUUUUAUUAUUUUCUGAGCCAUGGUUUCUCCUACCGUGUUGGGAAAGGAUUUAUUAAUUGUGCGUUCGGGCUUUUUUUAAAUUAUUAUUUCCGCCCUUUGAGAGAGUGGAAGGAUCAUUUUUCAAAAACAUGGCUCGAGUUUUAAAAUGAAUACAUGAAUUUUCGCAAUUUGAAAUGAUAAUAAGUUUAUUAAAUUAAUUAAAUUAAUUUGUCCCUUGUUAAUGUGAAUUUGUUAAAUUAUUUUCUUUUUAUUGUUUAUCUACAAAGCAUAUGAUAAAUUUGUAAUGUGAGUGAGUGAACUAGCAACAAAUACCCUGGCCAUCUAUAGAAACAUCAAUCAACUAAGAAUCCCUAUGUGAAAAAUGGAUCAAAUUACAUGCAUAAAUUCGCUAAAUUGAAACCCUUAAAGUCCAACCCAGUAAAACUAUGAGGCCGCAAGGGCCAACUUGGAUGAGAUGGGCCUGAGUGAUGGUGAGCCCAAUUGUUUGAGAGGCCCGAAUCGAAGCUCAAAGCCUCAAACCCGGGGCCGGUGCGAUUCAGGUCCCCCGACGCACCCGAUUACGAAAUCGAAACACGAAUUUGGCGCGGGCUCACCAUCACCGUCCGAUCAAUAUUUGACACCCUCGCCGUCCGUUGAUUUCUCCCUCCGCUAUUCUAUAUUGGCCCGCUUCAAGAUCCCGUACCAACCCCUCUUUUUGAUUCUUAAACCCCCCUUCGCGCUCUCACACUUCGCUCCUCACUACUCUCACUCGCGCGCGCUCUCUCUCCGCCUCCGCCGUGGCCGUCGCCGUCGCCGUCGCCGUCGCCAUCUCCGGCGCCUCCGCAGCCAUGGAUUCGCAGCUCUUGGAGAUCAACCUGAUCUCCGCGCAGCGGCUGAAGCCGCCCCCGGGGCUCCGGCGGGUCCAGAGCUACGCCGUGGCGUGGGUCGACCCCUCGGCGAAGCUCCGGACCCGCGUGGACCGCGUCGGCGGCGAGAACCCCACCUGGAACGAGAAGUUCAUCUUCCACGUCCCCGCGGGGUUCCUCGCCGACGACUCGCCCUCCGCGGUAUCCGUAGAGAUCUACGCCGCCGGGGGCUGGUACCUCCCCGACUCCCUCGUCGGCACCGUCCGAUUACUCAUCGGCAACGAGCGCCUCCUCCGCCGGCCCCGUGACGCCCCCGCCUUCGCCGCCGUCGGGAUCCGCCGCCCCUCGGGGCGGAUCCACGGCGUGCUCAACGUCGGCGCCGCCAUCCUGAGCCGCGUCUCCCUCCGCGCCGCCGAGGCCCUCGCGUGGAGCCCCGCCGUGGGGUACCGCGACCUCAUGGGCGAUGAGCGCGCCCGCAUCCCGCGGAUCCCGUCUAGGGUUCGCACCGCCCUUAAGGACGCGAACCGCGACGCGACAACAAGCGGCCGUGGGACGAAGGAGGCGUCGGAGGAAGAGGAGGCUGCGGCGGAGGAGAGAGGGGGAUCGGACGGUGGGGUGGUGUUCUGCGGCCCCUGCUUCAUGCCCUUCCCCAGGAGGAUUCAUCUGAGCCCGUCGGAUCAGAACCUCCAGAUCCCGUACCCUGAGGAAAACCCUACCAUCAGAUGAUGGACGGUCAGGAUCUCUCAAUCCUGAUCUGCUCUGCAUGUUUUAGGCAUUCUCUCUUGUUGCUGCUGCUGUUCUUGCCCAUUCUUUCUCUCUGUAGGUCGAUUUGUUAUUGCUGUGACCAAAAUUCUUUUACAUCUCGCGAGGAUAAACUUAUGCUGCUUUCAGAUUCUUGAAGCUCAUGUAUUGAUGUAUAGGAUUGGUGUCAUUUUGAGGUCUACUUGUCCUUGGAUCAUUCAUUUUAUGUUGAUAUUCUACCUUAGCAUUGUUGUAUCUUUUCUCUUGUUUGAGAUAUUAUGUCACACUAUGGAUUAGAAUGAAUCAUCACCGUCUACGAGGGAUUGUCAUCAAAUAACGAAGCUACAAGAAGGAUCCUUGUUUGAUUAUCUACGUCUCCUUUAUUAAUGUAAUUAACACUCGAUUGAAUGUUGACCCUAUGUAGAGUCAGCUUGCUUUGUAUGAAAACUUGCCAGUAUUGAUCUUGUUAUGUAUCAGUUCACGGCCUUAACUUUGAAACAGAUGAUUUACUUAAGUGAGGGGAUGUCGGUUCAUGUCCUGUUAUGUCCUACAUUGGUUUUCUCGAGGUUAGUUCGUAAUUAGUAAAAUAAUUUUGACCGGUGUGGUCGUAUCAAUGCCUAUUUGAGUUGAUCAAGAAAUUGUUCGUUGUUUGGUUGGUUGGGGCAAAAUCAUAUUCUGACUAACAAGUUCUUUAAAAAUUUGCUACGUUAUAUUAUAGAAUGAUUGGAAAAUGGUGUUCUUUACCUCUGUCAACUAGGUUAUUGGAAAAUGGUGUUCUUUACCUCUGUCAACUAGGUUAUAGGUGUGCUAGUUGUGCUUGUGCUAGUGUGCUUGUGUUUUUGUCUGGAGGUGUGCUCGGGAUCUGCUUUGUUAGAGCUAGUGCCGAGGGUGGGAUUGGGAUAUUCUCUGUAUCGUGCAUGGGGGUGUGCUCGGGUAUCAUUACUCGCGAUUUGUUUUCGUCUAAACGCUUCUGUAAAUAGGGUUCAUCCCUGUUUAAUCAAAAAAAAUAUUAUAGAAUGAUUUCUUUCUUACAUUUCUUUUUGUACUUAGCAGACAGAUAUAUAUGUCCAUAAUUAUGGCUGUAGAAUAUUUUUUGGCACUAUUAACAGAAUCAAAAGAUGCAUUUCAUCCUUUCUACAUAAUUGGCUGGAUACCUUCUUUAGCUUGAGCUAUUUCAACCAUUAAUUGCAUUAUUUAUGAGCCAUUCUUUUAGUGUGGUAUUAAGGUGUUCUUUCCCAUCGAAACAACGUUACAUCGGGGACCUUUAUAAAGUUAUAUUCUUGAUCUGACAAAGAAUCUUGCCUUAUACAGAGUUGAAUGGAUUUAAUAGAACGCACUAGAGCCGACCCCACUAAUAUUUAGGUGCUAUAAGGCUUAUAAAUAGUUGUUGCAUUACUUUCCCAAUCAUAUUUUAUUAUAACAUUCAACACACGAGUUUAUUAACUUAUUAAUUGAUUUGAUGUCCAAGAUAUUCUGUAUGCUACAUCUAAUGAAAUAUGUCAUAUCAGUGACAUCGCUAUGAAAGAGAAUUUGAUUGUGUGCUUUCUAUUAUAAAAUAAUUUGAUUGUGUGCUAACUAUUAUAAAAUUUAUGGUAAUAGUAAAAGUAGUUACCUGACAUUUUUUUUAUCUCCAAGAUUUUCAAUAGAGCCAAUAGAUUCAUUAACUGAUGAGACUAGUGCUUUUAUUUGCAUGAUGAUCAGAAUUUUUGAUAUACCUUUAUAAUGGAUGUUUAACUAAUUUAUAAACCAACAAAACUGUUGCGAGUGGUUCAUAAGGUGAAAUGCAUCUAGUUUAUACGGCCUUCACAGCUGCAAACUUUCUUCUACUAAAUUCUGUUUUCCAUUUUUCCAAUUGUUUCCAUAUAUUCUGUACCCCCAUUCAUCUCAUGCAUACUUUGGCUAAAAUUUUCAAAUAUUGAUCUCUGUUUGACAUUUGAUUAUGGGAAUUAGGAAACAUUAGCCUUUCCAACAUCUGUUGUGAAAAAAAUGCAGCUUGAAACAAUGUUCCUCAUAUAUUUCGUAGUGACACAAACUGAUAUACAUGUUGAAUAUAUAAGUAUGCUCUUUGCUUAGCCAUUGACUUUCAUCUGCCAAUCUAUCAAAAAUUCUGCUUUACUGCUUGAUGCCAAUAAUGCACACAUUUUUAUGCAUACAUUUAGGCACAUUUAGAUUUGCUUGCAUGCUCCUACAUAUAAAAUUUAUGUUUUUCUUUUUAAAUAUAUUUGUGAAUGUAUGUGAUAUGCUUUUGCAUUUUGUUUGGAACAUGAGAAAUCAUUACAUGGGUUUAUUAAAUAGUAAAUCCGUGUAUGAAAUUCUUAGAUUCUUUUCUAGGGCUUCCACUAUCCUUAUUUAUCACGUGAAUACGCGAUACCAUAAUCUCUCUAUUCUCAACUCUUAUCCACCUACAUUCUUCCAUCGCCAAUUUUUCCUCGUCAAAUCUCUGAAUCUUCAGAGAAGUUUCCUUACAGAUGUUAACUCUUAUCUAUUUCCCUCUGGACAAGCAUCACCUAUUGCUAGAUUUUGACUUGUUUAUUUGUAUAUUAGAAUAAGCCUCAAAGAAUAAGGGCAUUCCCUCUAAUUGUCAUGAAGAGCUUUAAUUUGUAGAUAUCCUCUUCUCUUCAUCCACAAUCUGAGAUUCAUCCUAAAAUCUGAGGACCAGCUCCUCUAUCCCACAUCAGAGUAGCUAUUGGAAAUCAUAACUCUUUAAGUCCAGUGGACUUACGAAAUUCCUAUAAAGCUAUAGUUGCAGCUAAUCUAUAAUGGUGAGAAAAUCGAAGACAAGUACGUGGAGUUUAGCUGAUAGCAAGCAAUAUCAAGGACUCUCUCUCUCUCUCUUUCUCUCUCUCUCUCUCUCUAUCUCUCUUCUUUUGCACUAAUUGUUACUUUUUACAAUUGGUCUUUAUUUUACAUACUCUUAUUAGUUUGCCAUUUUUCCUUGGAACAAAGAUCCUACCUGUUUUUAGGUGCUUCUGAAAUAUCUUUUCUAUUCUGUUAUGAAUCUUUUGGUCAGUAUUACUGAUGUUAUUAUCUCAUUCUUAUCAUCUGUUGAAAAGUUUCCUAUUGUUUUCCUUUCACAUACUCGGAGCCCUCUCUCUGUAGACAUCGAUGGUAUUGGUUUGAUCGAUCUGAUGACCAUAAAGAUGCUUGUUGAAUCAUUCAGUCAUUAAUGUUGCUUUCUAACGUAUUGGAGUUUACCGUGCACUUGUCUUAAUGUAGUUGGUCUGUAUUCUAAGAUUGAUUCCAUUGUUUUCAACAUAGAUUUGCCUCUUUUGCAUAUGGCUUUUAUUUGCUUUAGAUGUUGACUUGUGUGUUAUUCGUGAUGAUGACAUAUUCUGCGUAUACUGCCCAAAGAUUGUCCAGAUUCAUCUAAUAUAAGGCUUUGUGCCUUUAGCAUUAUUAUUUUUAUGUACAAUUAGAGAAACAAAUGGCCACUAUAGUGUUAGAAAUUAGUAGUUCUUCUUUUCUAAAGAAAAGCAAUAAGAUGGAAAGAGAUGUUUUCUUUAUGUUAAUGCGCUGAUUGGGCACUGCAUGUUUCUGUAAAGGCGAGCCUUAAAGAAUUAGUUGAUGACGGGGCCACUUCACCAUAUGACCCACUUCACCAUUAAAUUUUUGCUUUGAACAACAUACGCCAAUUGCAAUCCACAUAAUCUUCGAUCGAAGUUGCUGCCGCCACUGCCGUUUGCUUCGUCAGGUCGUGGAUAUCCAUUGAUUCUGAUACUUAAAAAAUUUAUUGGCUUUUAUCUAUAGGCCCCUGCAAAUUUUCUAUUUACAUGUUGUAAAAAUCUUGAAAUCGCUCUAAUUCAUGUUCGUUUGGAUUGCAUUUUCUUACCACCAACAUCUUUUUCUCGAGUAUGAAGCAUCAAACUUUGAUCUGCGGGCUUUUUAUCUUCUUAACUGAGUUUUUAAUUGUAUGAAUGUGCUCGCAUGUCGAAUUAAGUUUUCAUGCAUACAUAUGGAAUUUCAGAUUUUCAACGGACAUAUGUAGCCUUAUAUGAUGUUGUAGGGUUAUACAUGUAGUUUUGUCGAAAGAUACUCUUAUACAGGGACAACCAACCAUCUGCUCCACCCAAUUGAACUUGGAUCCGAAUCCUCUCUUUUUUGAAUGGGCUCUCACUUCAUCACCCAAUUCCUCCACCAUCUAAAUUUGAUGAAUUGGAUCUUUCGGAAAGUCGCGGCAUCAUCGACUUUUCAUUCUUUCUAUUUUUCAAUUGCUUCCACUCUUCAAUAGCCCUUUCCUCCCAUGCGACUUCCGAGCCUUAUCGAGCACUGUCACAUCAAAAUAUUGGCUUUUAUUAUUGCCCUUUUUUCUUUAUAUAUUUUGUGGAAUCUGCACUUACUUUAGUUGUACUGUUGCAUAUACUUGUAACAUUCCAUAGAUGACUACAACCUGUCAUGAAUCCUUUUCCUCAAUGAUGGAAAGCAAAAGCCAUUUUGAGAUGUGUAAUGCUUAAUCUGGAAGGAGCUUACCACUAAAAUACCUUUUUUCUUUAAGUAAAACAUGUGUUGGCAUUGUCACUUUUUUUUUUUUUUUUUUUUUUUUUUUUUUUUUGAGUUUCCCCACAAUCUCCUUUGAGGAAUAUAUACUUUCUAUGACUUGGAUUGUUCAAAUUUACUGCAAAUCAGGAUGAAAAAUGUUAGGAUUGAUGCCGUUAGUCCAUUAUAGAAUGAUUUGUCAAUGUAAAUUGAGAAUUUCUCUGACUCAUAACACGUAACUUCUUGGAGUUUACAGGCGAAUCAAAUAGAUCUGGAUGUAAGGUCACAAGCUACACAAAUACAUGCAUGUACUCACAUAUGCAUCUUAUUAGCUGAAGCCUUAUAUAGUUACUUAUGAUAUGUAGUUGAAGUAAAAACAAACUUCAGGGCAUCGAUAUCAUAAGCUCUAGUUUUACAUUGUUGAUGACUUUUUAAUGAAGAAUCUCUUAUUAUUAUUGUAAAAUACUUAUUUAAACUGUACUUAUACAUAAGUUGGACUAAAUAUGCCUUUUCAUAUACUCCAAAAAAAAGUAAUCUUUAUUAGAUUGAGUAACGUGGUAUCAGAGUUAGCCCAAACAAUUUUAUAGCGUAUAUUUUCAUUCCUGUUGUCACGUGAUAGGACUAGAUCAUCUUAACAUUAGCAUGCUAUUUGUAAGAAGUAAAUUUUUACUGUAGAAAGUAAAUUUUUAGGAUGCAAGGAUAUUUCUACUGUCCUUUUUAACAUCAAUAUGAAACUGUUUGGGAAGCCACCGAAUAGUGUAAGCAACUUCUUUGUCCUUUUUCUCAUUCUGAGACACACGUCAGAGUCUCGCGGUGUCGGCCAAUCCUCUUUCCUGCGCAUAUCCCCUCCCAUAGAUAACAAAUUCUCUUUUCGCACAUCGUAUCUCCUCCAAUCAAUCCAAACUUAAAAAAAUUAAAGGAAAAAAAAAACAGAGAGUCAAAGCAACAACAAUUAAUAUUUAUCUUAUCAACCUUACAUAGAACUAACAAAAAAAGUACCGAUGGUUGAUAUUCGAAAUUCUAAAUUUAGAAUAUAAUUAUUUUAUAUUUUUAACUUGGUUUAUUUUUUUAAAAGAAAAAAGCGAGACUGAUAGCAUGCUGUCUUUCUCUUUUUUAAAAAAGAAAAAAAAUCUUAAUUCACUUGGACUAUGUUAGCAAUACUUGCUUUUUUUUUGUUUUUUUUUUUUAGAGAAAUAGGUAGUGCGCUACCCGCUUCGUUUAUUUCAUUUUGAAAUAAAUUUAGCUGGAAAUGUGAAUCAAUUAGGAUUCGAACUUGGGACCUCGGGUACCAACCACCGAGUCCUUUACCAUUUGCUCUAGGGACGAUCGGUAUAUUAGCAAUACUUGUUGUGUGGAGAGUCCUUGUGAAGUAAUAGUUUGUCUUUAUUCUUCUCUAACCUAACUUUUUUUGUUUUCGUGGGUAAAUUUUAAUAGCAAAAAGGAAGGGUACAAAAUGUACACAUCAUUAUUCGCAAUAUGAAAGGUUUAGAGGAGCAUGCCACAAUUUAACUUUAAAAAGAGUGGAUGAAGAUGUGAGACAUGAAGGUAGGUAUGGAAAAAAGAAAAGGACGUCCAAGAUGCCUCUACCAACCUUGAAAGGAACCUGACCUUAAUCUUUGUUUAAGGAUGUUAACGGAUCGGAUUCGGUCGAAUACUCAGAAGACCGAAAUAAGAGGCGUAGAAGUUAUCGGGUCCAAAAAAAAGGAGCUUUACAUCACCUACAUGGUUGUAGAGUGAGAAUGUGCCCUAUGCUCUCUACAAAGCUUGGCACCGUAAAGAAAGAAAAUUAUAUAGAACACAUCCAGGAUUAGGAUGGACACAGAUUUUGAUCUACAUGCAUGAUACAAAUGUACAUCAUCUAAUCAAUCACGUGGUGUUGUGCUAGAUGUGUUCCACACAAUAAGCUUAUAAUAUAUCCUCUUGUUAAAUAGUUAUUUUUUUCUAUAUAGAUGUAUCAAAAACUGGGAGCCAUAAUCAAUCAUAUUUACAUCUUUGAAUGCGUUGUAAAAACAUGCGUUAAAAUCUAUUCAUAUUUAUUUAGCAUUAAUGAAUGAAAACAUACUUGGGGUUCUUUAGGCAUCAGUUUUGUUUUUUCUAAUUCUGGCAAGUAAGAAACUCUUUAAUGAAAUUUGCAAAAUAGAAACAAAUUACAACCCUUAGCAGUUCAGAUCAAUGUGAGUAGAUGCAUGGAUCCAAACAAUUGAGGGGCCAUAGUUUCAAAUUUCUUGGUCUAAUUCCUUUCAGCAUUCAAAACCAAAAUAAAAAAUUUGAACUAGAAGGAAAAUCUAUGCAGCCAAAUAUUUCUAUUUCUAUAUGAACAUUUAAGGUGCAAGAAAACAAUAAUACUAUAUAACCAUAUAUAAUAAACUUACAAGUCAUUAAUUAUUAAUUUAUAGAUAUUCUUCAGUUAAUAUUUGAAACAAAGGCAAACUUCAAAUAAGGAGAAAGUUUUCCAUGAAAUAUUCUUACAAUAUUAUAGCCUCUCAUAUUUGUAAAGUAAGAUGCAAAAAUUAAAAAAAUAUAUAUAUAAAAAAAUAAUGUUAACAAGUCAUUACUCUGCACUACUGUAAUUAAUUGGCUUGUGCUGUGGUGCAUCUUAAUGAUGUGAGCCUAGAUUUUUUUAAUUUAUUUUUUAAUCUUUUUUAAUUUUUAUCCCAAGUACACAACAAUAGCCCCCCUAAUACCACAGCACACAAAAAGUGAAAAAAAUAAUUAACCAAAAAGCUUAAAAAGUAGAGAGAGGGACCAAAGUUUUUCUCCAUUUAUUUUUAAAGUUUUGACAAAGUAAAAAGAAAAAGGAAAAAAAAAAAAAGAGAAAGAAGAACAAAAAAGGGGAGGAAACCAAAGUUGGCCCUUUAUGUAGCUAGUCCAAAAGAUUGGUUAAAUUGCAUUAACUAGUCCCUGAGCUUUGAGUCAAUUUUCAUUUUGGUCUAAAAAAUAAAGCUUGGUAAAAUUGAAAUAUGUGAUAGUAGUAUAAAGAUAUGUUGAUGCACCUUGUGGAGGCAGUAGCUUUUUUUUAAUAUUAAAUAUAUAAAAAAUUAAAGUGGUUUAUUAACGUGAGAGUUUGAGAAUCAAGAUAAAACAUAGUAAAACAUAAGGAGACUAGUGGCGCAAUUUACACUCUAAAAAAUAACAAUAUUAUUAUCUCCCCCAAAAAAAAAACAAUAUUAUUCAUACAUUUCAAAAAUAAUGUAUUUCCUGCAUCACACUUAUCUGUAAAUUUUUUUGACUUAUAUAUAAUGCGGUAAAUAAAAAAAUAUUAUUCAUUAAAUAGAUGAGUAUAAAUCAUACACUUUUUUUUUGUGAGAGAGAUAGGUAACAUGCUACCGAUUCAUUUAUUUUAUUAAGAAAUAAACUUAGAUAGAAAUAUAAAUCAACUAGAAUUCGAACUUAAAACCUCGGGUAUCAAUCAUCAAGUCCUUUGCCACUUGCGCUAAGGACCGUCGGUAAAUCAUACACUUUGUAGUGGUGGGGAUGUAUGGGUAACUAUAUUUUGCUCUCAACACAAUCAUAUAAAUAUACUCUCCAUAAACAUUACAUUACACAACAUGUCCUCUCUCUCUCUCUCUUCUCUUGAGACCUCUGCCACUUCAGAGAGAGAGAGAGAGAAAGGGAAGAGAAAACCACUUCGGGGUUUGGUUUUGGCCCGUGCCUGUCGUUUUGUGUUUCUUAGCCGUGCUUAAAACCACUGUUAAAAACAACUGUUUCAUCUCUCUCUCUCUCUCUCUCUCUCUCUCUCUCUCGCGCGCGCGCGCUUCGAUUCCUCUCUAUUUUCGAUCUCGAUCCCGAAGCGCACAAACAUUAUCUCUCCAUGUGGUCCUUUUUGCUCCUUAUUCUCCUCUCCUCCGAAGCGUGGGGUGCGCUACGACGCGGACCCGUGUGGUUUUCCUGGCUUGUAGUGGUCAUACGCGCGUAAAAGAGCCACCUUUGCUUCGUUUCACCACCAUUUCCCUCCCCCCCCUCAUCCGAGCUUUGUGGCGAAAUCGCGAAGAACCCUUCUUUUGAAACGGGUGUUCGGAUUGGGAGAAGCCCAAAAGGCGUGAUCUUGGGGGGUCUUCUCCUUUUGCUGUAUCUUAUCCUGUUGAGGUAUCGGAGAAAACCCAUUUCUCCUUUUCCCCCCUCUGUUUCACCUUUUUUUUUUUUUAUAUAUGCUACGAAUUUGGCUCUUUUCCUUUUUAUCUUAUGUUUUGCAUCAUCCCAUUAGUAGUGGGUUCCAUUUUGCAAGUUUUAUCAGUGUGUCCAAGUAUAAUUAGUUACCAUGGCGCUUUUUAGGGUUUGAUCAUUGUGGCAGGUCACUACUUUGUCUCUUUUUGGUGGUCAUCUUAAAUAAAAAAACAAGCUUUGAAUAGUUUAAGUGGUUGUAGUAGUUGAAAGCUCCAUUUCUAUGGGCAUGUUACAAUACUUAUCAUGUUAAUGUCAUUUGGUCCAUUUACAGGGUUAUAUUUCCAUCACUGUGGGUUGUCUUUGAGUAGUCCUGGUCCAUGCCUUAAAAAGUUUAAUGUUAUUGAUUCUAACUUUAUUUAUUAAAAAGAAUUUGUUCCAUAGUUUCGAUUUCUCGAUGAUUGAAAGUGAUUGGGGUCCUCAUAUGUCGUUUUCUAACCUAGAAUAAUUUGCGCCCAGCAUCAAGUUAUCUAUUUCGUCGAGGAAGAUGUCGAAUUAUCUGUCCUUCGAUAGCGAAAUCUGGAAUGCUAUUCUGUUUAUUUUGUUUCUUCGUCUUUCCUUUUUCGUUGGAUUUCAUGGACUUACUUUUCAGGUAAUUCGAGUUUCGCGUCAUAUAUGAUUGCUCUCAUGGAUGAUGAGUUAUCAUGGGAGUCUCUCUCCACAGACCAUUUCGCGAGUGAUAUGAUCAACUUCAGAACGGUUCCCGAGCGAAACGAUGGAGAAGAACAAUUCAUGGUUUCGCUGGAUAGCAUUCUGCCGGAUGAUUUAUUAGAGAAAAUACUCUCCUUUUUACCCGUCGCGAGCAUAGUUAGAGCUACAUCCGUUUGCAGAAGAUGGCGCGAUAUAGUCCGCUCAAGGAGGUUUCUAUGGGCCAACAAGUCACCUCAAAAGCCGUGGUACUUCAUGUUUACAUGCAACGACGCUGCCGCUGGGUAUGCGUAUGAUCCCAUCUUCAGAAAAUGGUAUAACGUCGGUCUCCCUUGCAUUGAGAAAAGCAAUUGGUUUAUCGCUUCGUCUUGUGGGUUAGUUUGCUUUAUGGACUACGAUAGCAGGAGCCGCAUCUUCGUUUGCAACCCAAUUACUAGAGAUUCGGUUAAGCUUCUCGAACCACCUGGUGCGAAAUUCCCUGACUAUAGUACGCUUACUAUAUCUGUUGACCGAUCUUCUUACGACUACACUGUUGCAGUGGCAAAAUCAAAACAAAUUCCUGGCGAUUUUCUUCAGUGGGACUUCUCGAUACACAUGUACGAUUCAAAAAGUCGAAAUUGGAUCACUUCUAUUGAGGAGGUUUUUAUGGGUUGGAGAGGAGGCGAUGAUAGUGUGAUUUGUAAUGGAAUAUUGUAUUGCUUGGUCCAUUCGACUGGCAUAUUGGGCAGUUCCAACUUUCGUCAUAGCCUCAUCAUCUACGAUCUAGCGGCUCGGUCUUCUCGCACUUCCUUGAUGCACGAUUCGAUCCCGGCCCCUUGUUCUCUCACCUGCGGCCGGCUGAUGAAUUUAAAGGAGAGGCUGGUUAUGGUCGGCGGGAUAGCGAAGAACGAAAGGCCGGAUAUCAUUAGAGGAAUAGGAAUUUGGGAGCUCUAUGACAAUAAAGAGUGGCGAGAGGUGGCCCGGAUGCCCCACAAGUUUUUCCAAGGGUUUGGUGAGUUUGACGAUGUUUUUGCGAGCAGUGGGACGGAUGGCCUUAUAUACAUACAGAGCUACGGGGCGACUGCGUUGCUUGUUUUUGACAUGAGCCAGAAGCAAUGGAGAUGGUCGGUGAAGUGUCCCGUGACUAAACGGUUUCCUCUGCAGCUAUUUACAGGUUUCACCUUCGAACCUAGGCUUGAAGUUGGCCCCUGAGUUCGAAUCUCCUCUCAAGCAAAGUUUUGUGGAUUUGACUAGUUGCCUACGAAGUUCUUUUUCUUUCGGAGAGACACUUAGAAAGGUUUUAUUACUUUUGAGGGGCUUAUAGGAGUUGCUGACUGGUAUAGGUAUCAGUGACAAAAUCUUUCUGAUGAUUUUUGUUCUUUCAUAUGUUUGUCGGUGGAGCAUUCUGUGUUUUUUUACUUUGGCAUAGUGUUGAUCUAUAGAAUGGCAGAAAUGCUGCCUCACUUUUUCCUUGUAUCCUUUCUUUUUUUUCAAAAAUAAUCCAUACGUCGGCUUUUUACAGCUUGUCUCGCUGGAAUCGCUUUCAUAUCUUGUCUACUUGCAUUCCACUUACUACAGCUUUAUACUAAAAUUUCUUAAGAUUUAAGUCUAGUCUCUGUUUCCUUCUUUAUCUCUAUUCCUGCUGUACAAAUGGGAUGAUGCUUUGUGGGUAUAGAUAGUACUAACCAGAGAAAUUAUCAAGUAUUUUGCAAUAUAUAUUUUUUUCUGUUUUAUCUCUCAUAUCUGAGCAACCAGUUCUUUGUAAUUAAUUCAGAUGUUCACACAAGGUUGGUUGUGCCUCUGAAUGAUAUUCUGCAGAAAAAGAAGAGAACACUAAUCUUGCCAAAUUUGUUAAUUACUUGGAGGAAUGGCCUUGCCAGUUGUUUACAAAAUAUUAUUAAAUGGAAUUUAUAUUCUCUUUCAAUUGUAAAAUAUUUUAGUUUCUGAUGGUCAUAAAUUCUUCAGUGAUGUAUAAAUAGUGUGCAGGGAUCAUUGAUAGAGUUUCAGCUCUGUAGCAGUAAUUAAAGCAAGUCAUGCUUGCCAUAUGAGGCCUUUGUUAUGUCCAAUUUAUGGUCAUAUACAUGGAUUAUAGGGGUGGCAAUCCAGCUCGCUGUUCGCGAGCCAGCUCAUGUUCGGCUCGAAAUAAGCUCGAGAUCGGACGCUUUAACAAAGGAUUUCACUCGGUUAUUAAUAAAAAGUUGAAGACAGACUGGGUCGGCUUUCCGCAUCGUGUUCGCUCCGAUAUACACUCGAAAAAGUACAUAUAAUUUUAUAUUAUAUAAUUUAUUUAAUAUAUAUUUUUUUAUAAUAAAUAAAUAUAUAUAUAAUUAUAUAUUUAUUAUAUUAUAAUUUUAGCAAAUAAUAAAAAUAUAAUUGGAGUUUUAAUUAUAAAAAGACUGACUUUAUAUGUAAGUUCAACUAUAGAUCAAAGCCUAAUAGAUAAGAUUUAUAAUUAUUUUUAUAUUAAUAUUUAAUCUAAUUUUUUUUUUAAUUAUUUUGUCGUGGCAGGCGAGGGGUCGGAGCCAGCGGUGUGUUGGCGUAGGCCGUUAAUCACGAGCCGAACACGAGCUGAAUUUUUCGGCUCGAUACUUUAACGAGCCAGCUCGUGUUCGGGUCGUUUAAUAAACGAGCCGAACACAAGCCGACCCCAGCUCGCUCGUGUUCGGCUCGUUUACACCCCUACAUGGAUAGGCCAGGCCUGCAUACUACAUAGAUCAAAACAAGGUAGGGAAUAAAGCGUUUUGUUUGAUAGAGACACAGCAAAUUGUAAAAGGGAAAUGCAAUUAUGCAGCUCUUUUUAAGAUGAUGGGUUGUUACCUAAUAUAAUAUAAUUAGCUGUGGAGAAUCCAAAAGGCACAUUGGGUAUUGGAAUUUUUGGUUAAGGAGAUGCUGCUCUUCUUCCAGAAGCCAAAAGCAAGAACUGGCUUUUGAAGCUUGUAGUUUGUAAGAUAUUAGAGCCAAAAGAACACUUCAUGGGUGGGGUGUGACAUGCAUUAUCUUUUGAUGUGAACUUAGAUUUAAAGAGAAAAAACGAGAAGUGGGGAUCUUUGGUCUCAAUGUCUAAUUGUAAACCAAUAAAGGAUUCAGUUGCAUGUUUUUGAAAAUAAAGGUGUCAAAAGAGAUAAAAAGAAUUUUGCAUUUUGUGCUAACUUUUGGUUUAUGUCCGUGACAUAGCAUGUUACGGAUACAACUCUCUAUGAAGCUCUUAAAAUUAUUAUUAUUAUUUUUUGCUACAAUCAGAGAUAAAUCCUAUUUUACAUGCCAAAAUUUGUUCUAAAUUGAAUCAACUUCAUUAUACCUUACGAGUCUUUGACUCUUUUCAUAAUAGCAAUUGGCUAAUUGUAAACUUUUCAGCAGCAAUAUAUAAGUUUAUCCAAAGAUAUUAUUAAAUCCCUUAGCCCUUCUCUUUCCAAAGGUACUUUUGGAGGGGUUACUUUUCUAAUUGAAAAAGCAAUAGGGACAAGUAAAUAAAAAUUGAGCAAUACUACGUACCCAUACACACUAUCUAUAGAUAUAAAACUUGCACCCAUAGGCUUUUGAAAAAUGCUAAGUUUACAACUCAAAUUUGUUGUAAUUCCUACAACCUCUCAUCCAAAGAGUUAUAGAAUUUGCCAAUCUCUUUUUGAAUUUUAGUAUUAAAAAAAAAUGAUGAGACAAGAAGGAGAAAAGAGGGAGUUGGAUGGGUGAGGUUGUAAGAUUACAAUUUUCUAUUUUUAAAAUUUGUUGAAAAAUUCGGCUUAAAAAAGAGAUUCAGUAUAAAAUAUAAAAUAUAAGAUAAUCUAUAUUUAAACAUAAAAAUUAUAAAUUUUUUAUUCAGAUUUUCAAUAAUUCAUGAAUAAUUUACGAAUAAUUUGUAAAUUAUUCGCGAAUUAUUCGGUUGGCCUAAAAAUUCGCGAAUAAUUUUUUUUUUUGGAAAAAAUUCGUAAACGGACCGUUUAAUUUGGAUUUUUAAUAACUCGCGAAUUAACUAACAAAGUUCUAAACUAACUACUUAUUAUAAAUGUUCAAUAUAUAAUCCUUUUAUCAACAGUUCUUUAUUUCGAAUUGUGCGAUGGGUAGCACGUAUAUUGCAUGUAAGAUUUGAAUAACUAAGGUGUAAGAAGAUGAUGAAUAAAUAUUGUUUCAUCUUGUUCUAACACUAAACUUAUACACGUGUAUUGUGUUUUUUACUCGCAAACAAUAUGCAGGCCAUGCCAGAUCAGUUUCAUUGGGUCUUGGUUAUCUUGGGCCCCAAACAAAGUUCGGUUCGGGCUCCCGAGUUUGGCCUGCAGUUUUUCCAUUUGACCCGGCUCGACCAUUUUGGGUCGCACUCAUGUUCAAACUAGAUGUAAAAUUUCCGGAUUGGAUCGGACUUUGAAUCAGACAAAUGAACCCGAUCCGAAGUUAGGAUCGACCCGGACCCUGCUUUGGCCCAGCCUUGGUUCAUUUGAGUUCAGAACAAAGCCAUGUGAUAGGUUGUACGCUAGUACUUUUUCAUACAAUCUAUAAAUUAAAUUUAAUCUGAUUAGAUUUUGAUCUGCUUUAGAUCAGCCAUUUAUCAACCUGGACUGAUUUUUUUUUUUUUUUUUUUUUUUUUUUUUUUUUUUUUUUUUUUUUUUUUUUUUUUUGUUGAUUCAUUUUUAGGAGAAGAUUUGGUUCAACUUGGGUCAUGGCCGAUGCAUGGGUUGAACCAGUGGAGAAGUAAAUGAAUAUAUGUGAGUUGAGCUACUUUCGACAGUAUCCAGUACAGUCGACUAAAAGCUUAAUGAUUUAUACCCGAAAUUGUAAGUUCGAAAUCUAAUUGAUUCACAUUGAAGUGAGUAACUUGUUAUCUUUCUUUUAAGAAAAGUAAGCAUAAAAUUUUUGCCCUUGAAUCUAUACAUAAUAAAUAAAUGGAAGAAGCUAUAUCUAAGUCGGAUAAGUAUGAUCUAAUUAGUGACAUGUUUUGCUUGUAAAAAUAAAUGAAGCUAGUAUUUUCUCACUGCAUUUUUCUUCACCGCAUGCGGAAUACUCGGUCCGUAAUCCAAACAGAGUUGAAGAGAGAAAAAAACAAAGCUUGAUAUAUAUCUAGAGUUGAUUCACCAACUAUAAACUAUGGUAUUUAGGAAGAAAUUAGAGGCUAAUUAAGCAAGUUUUAUCGACUAACGUGUGUUCCGAAACAAGCCAAGUGAUUAGCGUGGCGGCUUUUGACUCACGGAAGCAGAUUUCCACAAUCUUGCCGACGGGCCGUCUCUGUCGCAUUAUCUUCAGUCAUUUUCUCUCUCACUCUUAAAAAAAAUAAUAAGAAGAAGAAGAAAAAAGAGAACCUGUCAUUAAAACGUGCAUGUGUUUUUGAAGUUUUGGUGUCCAAACUUAAGUCUAUUCUGGGAUUGAACGUUGCAUCGAUCUUCCAUGGAAAAUACUGUUUUUCUUCAUCUGCUUGUCUCUUACGCUUCGAGGACUCCCCACCAAGUUUCAGAGCAUGGUGUACAUGAAAAGAAUUUUUCAUCCUAGAACUCUAGCUUUAAUUAGAACCCUUUGCGUUUACAUUUUACAAUACAUUGUGUAAGAUGAGAAAGUAUGGCGAGAAAAUAUUCAGUUUGCAAUGAAUGGUGUUUAAUUUGUAAAUUGUAAUAAAUAUUCAGUUACCGUAUAGUUUCUAUGGUUCUACUGAAAAAAUAAAUAAGUAUAGUGUUAUCUAUGUAUUUUUGUCCCAACUAUUUUUGAUCCAAUAAUGUGAGUGAUACUUUUGAAUACCAAAUAAAUCAUAUUGGCCUGGCUUCUGAAAUAGUACUCUCUAUAAUCACCUAAGCAAUGUAUAAUAGCACCAAUGACUUAAUGCUAUUAAUAUUAUUCUAGCCUAAUUCACUUUCUCUUUCUCUCUCUAUAUAUAUAGAGAAAGAGAGAGAGCUAGGCUGGUAUAUUAUACGUAGCACGGAGGCCUUCGCACUACCAAGUUGUUUUCAAUAUUGCGGCUUCCAAAUUGACGAUCAGCUCCGUUAGACUUGAUCCACACUAUUAAAAGUAUUUGAAAACUAGAUUUUAUAAUUUUUCGGCAUUAUUUACCUAUCAAACGAGUAGUCUAAAAAUGAACGGCUGAAAAUAAAAAUUUCAUAACCAAUGAUGAUAAAAGACUUGAAUUUAAGAUCGGAUGCAAUGAUCUUACUCUAAAUAGUGAAAAGAAUUUUUUAUAAAAAUUUCAUCAAAUUUGGAUUGUUUACACCGUUAAAUUCACAAACGUAUCACAUCUACCAUUAAAAUUGUUAAUUUUGAGACCUUUUCAUCACUAGCCAAAUGAUGUCGAAAAAUGAUAAAAUUUAGUUUUCAAAUACUUUCAAUAAUAUAGAUCAAGUCUACGGAGCCGAUUGUCGAUUUGGAAGCCGCAACAAUUUGGUAGAACGGAGGCCUCUGUAAUACUGAUAGUAUACAAGCCUAACUCUCUCUCUCUCUCUCUACAUAUAUAUAUAUAUAUAUAUAUAUAUAUAGAGUUGAGCUAGGAUACUUUUACAAGUAUCAUCCCCAUGGUGCUAUUAGGUUUUUAGCCAUUGGAUCUACUCCUUGAUUACUAAUAGUCCUUGGAUCAAACACUAUUCCGCCUACCACCACCUACCACCACCUACCACCAUCAUCUCAACCUCACAUCUCUCCAUCCAAGGGCUAAAAACACUAAAGCACCACCCAAGUGAUACUUGUAAAAGUAUUCUAGCUCCACUCAUUUUAUAUAUAUAUAUAUAUAUAUAUAUAUAUAUAUAUAUAUAUAUAUAUAAAACUAGACUGGAAUAUUAUCAAUAGCACCAAGUUAUACCAAGUUAUUUGUGCUAUUAGUUUUUUAGUCCUUGGAGUGAGAAAUGUGCGGUUAGGAUGAUGUGGGCCUACUAGGGUUGAAUUGGUGGUUAGUUAAAUAAUCUAACGGGUAAAAAUAAUCAAAAGGAUUAAUCUAACGGCAGAAAACUUAAUAGCACCAAGUGCUUGAUAUCGAUGCUAUUGAUGGCAUAGCAGCCUCUCUCUCUCUCUCUCUCUCUCUCUAGAUCUAAAGAGGUUUGCACUGGACAAGAAGUUUUAAACCCGCCCUCUGAUUGAGACACAUAACAAAAUCUUUAAAUUUCGUGGACCAGAUUCAAUAAAUCUUCCAAUUCCAACAUUUAUGAUCUGACCCAGUAUUUCUUAGAGGAGAGUUUCGCUGCAUCUACUCGAUCCCAAUCUCAAGCAUGAUCAGGUAAAGCACUACCAAAAUUCUACGUACCAAGGAAGUUGUUGACUAUCUCGAGAAGGAGAGAGGCCAACUUUUCUUUCUUCUUCUUUUUUUUUUUUUCUUUUUUUUUUUUUCGUUUCUAGCAAUAAAUUUGUGCGUAAAAAUUUGGCAUAUUUCCUAUUCUUAGCAUUUAUUUUAAAUGAAUCUAAAAAUUUAAACAUAAUUGGCUACUUAGAUUGUAAAAUUUAAAUAAAUUGAUAUAUAGCUUUGUUUCGCAUCUUAAUAUCUAUCUAAUUUCUGCAGCUCGCAAAAUAUAUAUAAAAAAUUAUGUGAGCAAGAUAUUUUAUUUUGCUAAUACCAAAAAAUUGGUCGAUAGUUUUUAACAUAAUGUUAUUUAAUUUAGAUAAUCCUUCUAUAUAUAUAUUAAUAAUAACUAAUUUUAUCUGUUAAUUUAUAUUUUCGAAAGUUUAACAGUUAAUAAUUAUUCAAAAUUUUUGUUCCGUAUGAAACUGCAGCAAAAUAUAAAAGGAUACGUAAUAGAUGUAGGUUUUUUUUUUUUUUUUUUUUUUUUUUUUUUUUUUUUUUUUUUUUUUUUUUUUUUUUUUUUUUUUUUUUUUUUUUUUUUUUUUUUUUUUUUUUUUUUUUUUUUUUUUUUUUUUUUUUUUUUUUUUUUUUUUUUUUUUUUUUUUUUUUUUUUUUUUUUUUUUUUUUUUUUUUUUUUUUUUUUUUUUUUUUUUUUUUUUUUUUUUUUUUUUUUUUUUUUUUUUUUUUUUUUUUUUUUUUUUUUUUUUUUUUUUUUUUUUUUUUUUUUUUUUUUUUUUUUUUUUUUUUUUUUUUUUUUUUUUUUUUUUUUUUUUUUUUUUUUUUUUUUUUUUUUUUUUUUUUUUUUUUUUUUUUUUUUUUUUUUUUUUUUUUUUUUUUUUUUUUUUUUUUUUUUUUUUUUUUUUUUUUCUGAGAAAAAGGUAAUAUGCUAUCCAUUUUAUUUAUUAAAAUGAUGAAUUAAGUGAAAUAAGGUGAGGCAGCGAAGGCCUCAUUAUGGGCGUACCGCCCGAAAAAAAAAAAAACCUCUAGCGAUUACAGAAGCAGCGAUUGGUAGAAAGGAAUUGUUCCCAUAGGUUCAUCCAACAGUUGAUCUUAUGGACCGUAGACAAGGAAUUGGGCAGGGUUUUUCUAAAGAUUACAUCAUUCCUGACAUUCCAGAUGAUCCACCAUCAUAUAAGUCGAUUUUAUCGUGAACUUUUCGUCCGGGCUUCACUGCAAUUAACACUAUCUGGUCUCUGCUCAGGUCUGAAAUUGAAUAGUCACUCCAAAAGCGCGGAAAAAUUCAGGCACAAACCAUACCCAGAAGUAAUAGAUGUAAUUUUCAAUAUGGAAAGAAAGAUAAUUAACAGAAGAUUCAUAGCGCAAAAAAGAUUUUUUGUCCUAUCACACCUUCAAUCACGCAAACACCGCUUCUACACAAUCGUACUAUUACUUUUCUUUGAUGACCAAUGACUAAUCCACAGCAUUAAUUAAUUAUUACGGUCAUUAAAUCCACUAAUCAGUUUGUAUUCUAUGCACGGCGAGACACGUGGCCCAGUUGUGUUGCACACGGCGAAGACCUGCUUUAAGAGCUGUGCACUAAUUAGUCGAUCUUAGACAUGCGAAAAAUUAUUAUCUACCUAUGCCGUAUAUAUUGCACCUAUUUUUUAAUAAUCUAUAUAGCUUAAAAUUAAAAAUAUAUAUGACAAAUGUGACAGGUUGUCUACAGUAUUUAUGUGCAAAUAGUUAUUAAUUUUAAAAGUUACUAUUUAAACAUUAAGUAUAGCCUUAAUUUAACUGUAUGAAAAAAGCAUUAGUAUUAGAUUCAUCAGACAAUACGUGUCCAUUUUUUUUGUAUGUAGGCUUUUGUAUUAAAGAUUAUAUUUCUCAAGAGGCCUUACGAGAGUUCUUGAACAUAUAUACAUAGUAGCGGGAGUCAUCUAAUUUCUAUAUAUAACGUGUGUGACAGAUCGUUGUAAAAAUAUUCUUGAGAGAACAAUAGUAUGCUAACUGUUGCAUUUAUUAUUUUUUUCAAAAAAAUAAAAUUAGCUUACAAAGUAAAGCAAUCAGGAUUCGAAUUUAGAAUCUCGAGUAUCAAUCAUCGAGCUCCUUAUCACUUACCACUUACGAUAGGAAC
RNAcentral lists this long non-coding RNA (20524 nucleotides) under Ananas comosus (pineapple). RNAcentral describes it as "long non-coding RNA (ACOM_LNC018746)". The record is from RNAcentral. Lineage: Eukaryota; Viridiplantae; Streptophyta; Magnoliopsida; Poales; Bromeliaceae.